RNAcentral lists this ribosomal RNA (436 nucleotides) under Sporothrix sp. 1 AE-2016. RNAcentral's name for it is "eukaryotic LSU rRNA". It matches the Rfam family "Eukaryotic large subunit ribosomal RNA", at positions 148 to 591 of the family's 3401-position model. Lineage: Eukaryota; Fungi; Ascomycota; Sordariomycetes; Ophiostomatales; Ophiostomataceae. The record is from RNAcentral.
UUUUGGAGAGGAUGCUUUUGGCGCGGCGCCUUCCGAGUUCCUUGGAACAGGACGCCACAGAGGGUGAGAGCCCCGUACGGUUGGACGCCUAGCCUCUAUAAAGCUCCUUCGACGAGUCGAGUAGUUUGGGAAUGCUGCUCAAAAUGGGAGGUAAAUUUCUUCUAAAGCUAAAUACCGGCCAGAGACCGAUAGCGCACAAGUAGAGUGAUCGAAAGAUGAAAAGUACUUUGAAAAGAGGGUUAAACAGUACGUGAAAUUGUUAAAAGGGAAGCGCCUGUGACCAGACUUGCGCCCCGCGGACCACCCGGCGUUCUCGCCGGUGCACUCCGCGGGGCGCAGGCCAGCAUCGGUUUUCCUAGGGGGAGAAAGGUCGCGGGAACGUAGCUCCUCCGGGAGUGUUAUAGCCCGCGGCGCCAUGCCCCUGGGGGGACCGAGG